AGCCUAAUACAUUUACGCUGAGCUAAUCGCACGCUUGAAAUUGAGUCAUUGCCAACGGUAUACCUCCUACUGUAACCAUUCUUAAUUUCAUGCCUCUAUUGACAGUUUAAUAUUAUUAAUAUUUGA
Long non-coding RNA from Mycetomoellerius zeteki, 126 nucleotides. RefSeq lists it as uncharacterized. The transcript is spliced from 3 exons. The record is from RefSeq and is a predicted model, not a curated record. Lineage: Eukaryota; Metazoa; Arthropoda; Insecta; Hymenoptera; Formicidae.